Delphinapterus leucas (beluga whale) is the source of this 7265-nucleotide non-coding RNA. Lineage: Eukaryota; Metazoa; Chordata; Mammalia; Artiodactyla; Monodontidae. The record is from RefSeq and is a predicted model, not a curated record.
AGGUCACGGUCCGGGUGCGAGCCUCGCUCGGGCCGUCAGGGGAGGGGCUGAGCUACGGCCCCGCAGCCGCUGGAGCCCUUGCAGCCGUAUUAUCACAUGACUCGACGGCGGCGGUAGCCUUGGCAGCAGCUGCGCCGGCUCCGCGGGCUCGCCGGGUGGGCUCAGUUCCGCUCACGCAGGAGUCGAGCGCAGCAGGCGGGGAAGGGACCUGCUGAAGCUGCGGCCGCCCAGCCGCUCCCGGAGCGCUCGGCAUCUCCCCCGGCCCGGCCGGCCCGCUCCAUGCCGCUCCAUUGCGGAAGUGUAGCGGGGGGAGGGGGCGGCGGCGGCGGCACGGAGCGCGGGAGGCCGGAGCUCGGCCCCUUGCAGCACUAGGCUCUGGGAGCAGCGCGGCGCGCCCACCGGCCCGGCUGCCCGUGCGCCCGCCGCAGCCUGCAUGCCCCGCGCUGCGCCUCGCCCGGCCCCAGCCGCCGCCCACUGCUCGCACCGCUGCUGCCGGGCGCCGGAGUAAUAUGCUCACUCGAGUGAAAUCUGCCGUGGCCAAUUUCAUGGGCGGCAUCAUGGCUGGCAGCUCAGGCUCCGAGCACGGCGGCGGCGGCUGCGGAGGCUCGGACCUGCCCCUGCGCUUCCCCUAUGGGCGACCCGAGUUCCUGGGGCUGUCGCAGGACGAGGUGGAGUGCAGCGCCGACCACAUCGCCCGCCCCAUCCUCAUUCUCAAGGAGACCCGGCGGCUGCCCUGGGCCACUGGCUACGCAGAGGUUAUCAAUGCCGGGAAGAGCACACACAAUGAAGACCAAGCCAGCUGUGAGGUGCUCACCGUGAAGAAGAAAGCAGGGGCCAUUACCUCAACCCCAAACAGGAACUCAGCUAAGAGACGGUCCUCACUUCCCAACGGGGAGGGACUGCAGCUGAAGGAGAACUCGGAAUCAGAAGGCGUUUCCUGCCACUACUGGUCGCUGUUUGACGGUCACGCGGGGUCCGGGGCUGCUGUGGUGGCAUCCCGCCUGCUGCAGCACCACAUCACGGAGCAGCUGCAGGACAUCGUGGAGAUCCUAAAGAACUCGGCCGUGCUGCCGCCCACCUGCCUGGGCGAGGAGCCCGACCACACACCCGCGAACAGCCGGACUCUGACCCGCGCGGCCUCGCUCCGUGGAGGGGUGGGCGCCCCCGGCUCCCCCAGCACCCCGCCCACGCGCUUCUUCACCGAGAAGAAGAUCCCGCACGAGUGCCUCGUCAUCGGGGCUCUUGAAAGUGCAUUCAAGGAAAUGGAUCUACAAAUCGAACGAGAGAGGAGUUCAUACAGUAUAUCUGGUGGUUGCACAGCCCUCAUCGUGAUUUGCCUUUUGGGGAAGCUGUACGUAGCAAAUGCUGGGGACAGCAGGGCCAUAAUCAUCAGAAAUGGAGAAAUCAUCCCCAUGUCUUCGGAAUUCACCCCUGAGACUGAGCGCCAGCGACUUCAGUACCUGGCAUUCAUGCAGCCUCACUUGCUGGGAAAUGAGUUCACACAUUUGGAGUUUCCAAGGAGAGUACAGAGAAAGGAACUUGGGAAGAAGAUGCUCUACAGGGAUUUUAAUAUGACAGGCUGGGCAUACAAAACCAUUGAGGAUGAUGACUUGAAGUUUCCCCUUAUAUAUGGAGAAGGCAAGAAGGCCCGAGUAAUGGCGACUAUUGGAGUGACCAGGGGACUUGGGGACCAUGACCUGAAGGUGCAUGACUCCAACAUCUACAUAAAACCAUUCCUGUCUUCAGCUCCAGAGGUAAGAGUCUACGAUCUCUCCAGAUACGAGCAUGGAGCGGAUGAUGUGCUGAUCCUGGCCACUGAUGGACUCUGGGAUGUUUUAUCAAAUGAAGAAGUGGCAGAAGCAGUCACUCAGUUUCUCCCUAACUGUGAUCCAGAUGACCCUCACAGGUACACACUGGCGGCUCAGGACCUGGUGAUGCGUGCCCGUGGCGUCCUGAAGGACAGAGGAUGGCGGAUAUCCAAUGACCGACUGGGCUCAGGAGAUGACAUCUCUGUAUAUGUCAUUCCUUUAAUACAUGGAAACAAACUGUCAUGAAAACAGCCCAGGGUUUUAGAAGGACAGAAGGGAAGAAAGCUGGGAUGCCUCUGGGCAGGGCGGGGCUGGGAAGUGCCCCAGCAGAGUUCCAGAUGAUGCCACCUCUUCCCUGCCCAGGUGGGAAGCUUGCUGCUGAAAGGCCUCUGGCUGAGCUCCAGGAGGACCCUCGGGCUUCAGUUUCCUCUUUAGUAACAGGUCUGGAUACUCAACAAGAGCAAAACAUAAAGGCUACGACUGAGUGCUGUGUUUCUGUCGGUUCCUUUCAUAGGCCUCCUAGGCGGCCAUUGCCCAUUUGGGGGCACAUCCAUCAUAUUUAUUUUAUCCAGAGUAGCUGGGGCAGCCCUUUGCGGGUGUCACUGGCAGAAGACUCUUCCGCCUGCCAAGCUGCCAACUUCCCUACGGGUUAAAAGUGCUGCAUUGGAGAGUUGGGGAUCAUGCCUCAGAAGAUGGAAGCGCCCAUCUUCUAGUAAGCCUGAGAUUUAUUUCAGGGAACACUGUGUGUGUGUGUGUGUGUGUGUGUGUGUGUGUGUGUGUGUCUCUCUCUCUCUCUCUCUCUUUACUAUUUUUUGGUGCCAGUGGGGUGUGGCAGGGAAUUUUUUUUUUUUUUUGACGUUCCUUGAAUCUUAAUUGUUUUCCUUCCAUAGAACAGGUCUGGGACUUUCCAGGCCCCUGUCGAGGAAUCUGUGUGUCCAAGUCCAGCCCAGACUGUCCCCAUAUCCCGUAGCCCACACCACCCAGGCCGCCAUCUGGAGCGGUGCCCUGGCUGAUGGAGUUCAGUCUUUGUUAUGUAACAGUUUUUCCCUGAGUUGCAUUUUCUCACCAAAUCAGUGUGUUUUUGUGGAAAUAUGGGUGUUUCUCUGGACCCACAGUUCCUCUGUCAUCUUCAAGGGCCCCCCCUGGUGUGGGUGAGGUCUCUCUGGGAGAGUCUGGAUUUCGUUUCUGGAACGGUUGGCCCUCCCCCACCCGCUGUGCCAUAGGGACAGACACAAAGCAGAGUUGAAGCGAGCAGGUUAAGAGGUUCCUUGUAUCAGUCAGUUCACCACACCCCAUCUGAGGACCACUCCUCCAUCUGGAUCCAGGUUCCGUGGACCAGGACCGUCUCCAAGCCCCCUCCAAAUAACAUGUUAAGGAGCAGAGUUCUGUCAAGCGCUGUCUCUGCCUCCCCAUCAUAUCUGGGCAAGGCCCGCUCGGAGUGGCCGUUUGAUAAAAGUGAAUUUGAAUCAGGCUGACUGGUCAUUCUCAGGCUGGACCCUCUGUUCCUUCUCCACGGAAUCAUGUCCCAGCCCCCCAGGUACCGAGACCCCUGCUCCUACUGUCACUCCACCUCUGGGUGUUCCUCGCAAGAGCAGCGGCAGCCAGCGCAUCAGACUUCCCUGGUGCAUCUCGGCCGGGAGGACUCGCAAAAUAGAUUUUUAGAAAUCACUUUUAGGCAGACCGCUUCUGGGCAUGGGGGACCUUAUAGAGCAGUGUCCAAUCACCGAGUCUUCUCCCUGCAGACCUCCUGUGGUAGCGUCACCAUCUUGACUACUUUUUGUAAUAAGACGUGCUUCCCACCCCAUUAAAGACAGAGGUCAUUGGUGUGAUUCCCCCCAGAAGGCUGGAGAGCCAGUUCCACUUCUCCUGUUUGUUCAGUCCCUUCCGCAGAGGGGAGGACAGGAACCUUUCCUCUGGGUAGUGGGUCGCCUGCGCUUACGUUCUUGGAAUGUAGCUAUUUUCUUAGGAAUGUCCUGGAGCCUUCCUGCUUCGGAAUGUAUUCAUCCCACAGUGUGGAGACAACCGCUGGUCUGGCAGGUGAAGUCUGGCGGGAAUUCACCCACCGAGUGUUUGCCAAAAUGUUGUUUGGGAAGAACUGGACUCACUGGUCCCUUGUCGGGAGUCAUCGUCAUCUGACGGCUUCCCUCCUCCUUCAGGAAAUCUUAGCCACCCCCAGCGUCUCUGUGGGGAGAAGUCUGUGGUAAACCAUUUGCUGCCCUAGCAGAACGAGAUGCUCUGGGGAAACAGGCAGGCAUCCUACAACAGCGUGGUCCGCUUUCUGUUGCUGCCCUGACUCUCAGAACCACGUACGAAUUCGGAAAUGAGAAGUUGUACAUGGAGGGCUCUGAGCUGCCUUCUUUGGGAGGCUGUCCUCACAAGCAGUCACCUCUCCCCCGUGUUUCCACUGCCUUUCACUUCUUUUAUUUCCUGGGCUUCUAUCUGGGCCCUACCUUGAGCUUCUCUGGUUUUACUCAAGGCACCAGAGUCAGAGUUUGCAUGUGCAUAUCAUAGAGAUGUCAUGACAGCCUGGACUCAAUUCUCCAAUUCAUUUCCUGCCAAGGCAUGUCUCAGCAAAAACUCUGGAAGCCCCUGAUUCAAUUUAUCCUAAAGUUUUGAGUAUUUAGUCCUACUGGAUUUAGUUAGAAAGGUGUCCAGGAAUUCUCCUCAUAAGCCCCCUUGGGUGGAAAGAUCUUAGUAGCAAGCUGAAGCCAUGUUGUCAGUUUGGGGGAUUGGAGGGAAAAACCACAAAUGAGAUAAAUAAAUCAAAUGUGGAAAAAAAAUGAUGUUAAUGCCCGUGGCAGGUCUGCCCAGCACCGAUAUUGCUCUGUGAAUUGAGCUUACUCAGUUUUAGCCUCAUUUUUCCCCCUUGGAGCAUUCCUGGAAAGGUCAAAAGGCAACACACUCAAAAUUCUGCAGAACAUAUUUAUACGUGGUUCUGUGAUCUUGCGUCUCUGACUUACAGUCAAGUCUGCUUGCCCUAGUAGCCUCAAAGGAAGUCUUAUUUAAUAAAAAGCUUUCGAUUUCCUAGUCAAGUCUUUACGGUUAUCUGGGGGGGAGGGGUGUGGCCACUUCCUUAAAUGAAAGCCUCUCUCAGUUCUAAAUCUCUUUGCUGGACUGGCACUUGCUCUUCAGAAUAUUUGGUGACACUCUUUUCCUUAAAGAGAGCAAACUUGCACUCCAUCCACACUGUGGCAUUUUGUCAGGCAACAGGCAAACCUGUGUUCUCUCAAAACCUGAAAUCGGAGCAGUACCAGACCCAGAAAACUGGAGGGUGUGUUCUCCUGUGGUUGAGCUUGCCUAACUGCUGUUCUUACAGAGGGAACAGAGAAGUGAAAGUCGGGCUAGGCCAAGUACUCAGCUGUCUAAUAGGACAGAGCCCCCAAAGUGGGAAUUUGUUAUUUUCCACAGUUUACAGUUUUGGGGAAUUUGGGGUAUUUAAUUUUUUAAUCCCUAGCAAUUUACCUCCAUGAGGCUGCAUGAGGUCAGCUGUGCUCAUUCUUUUUGUGCUCUUCUAAGUAUUCAUUUACUUCUUGGAAAGAAUCACAGCUGUCAGUAGAUACUGGUGGGCAAGGAUGAGAGUCCCCGUAUCCAGAGUUGGCCUCAGAUCUUGGUCAUUCGGGCAGGGUUUUCAGUUCACCAAGAGCACUAGCGUGGCAACACUUGGAAAAAAAUCUCUCACAUCUUUACGACUCUGGUCUAACCUCCUUCCUCAUCUGCCAAUCAACUUUAUUUACAAGGCCACAAGUAGUCAGUGGUUUUCUUUCCACCACAGUCUGAGGAUCUUACCUUUCCUUAAGCAGCCCAGCAGCUCCACUGUUUUCAGACUGAACAUGUUAAACUUUAAUGAGAUUCUAUUUUUGGUAAGUUCGUGCUAUUGGGACACAUGAAGAAAGCAGUGAGAGUCACUAUCUAUGCAAAAACCCACCAGGCUGACCCUAAAAGGUAGCGGAUCUAAGAAAAUACUAAAACAGUGUCUGGCCACUGGACAGAAUUUUACAUUAGGAACUUGGAUUUUUGAAGACUUUCAGUUGCAGAGACAUGUCACAGCCUGCGCACCAUAAGCCCCCCAAGUGUACUUUGGUUCUGUGUUGGGUGAUGUGACUUAUGUGCAUACACUGGGAUUUUUCAAGGGACACUACAUGAGCAGCCCCACCUGCCUCUUCUGUAAGUACCGUGGUGGCUCUUUGUGGUUUGAGUGUCAGUCCAGGGAGUGCUGCUCUUUGUAAUCCACAUGAUUUGUGUAAAUAGCUUUAAUUUUGCCUUUGCGUCUUAGAUGUUUUGUUUAUGUAGCGCCCAGGUAGACAGUGACCAAAUGAGGCUUUAAAUGUAUUGUUUUCUACUGUGAUGUACUUGAAGGAGAAUCUCGUGUCCUCCACUCUUCCAGUCUUCCAUAGUAUUUUGUGUUUGGGGUGUCCUGAGGUUACUCUAUUACUCCUGUUUUGCCUCCACUUUCUUUGUUUCUUUCGGAAACCCAGGGAGGUCCACAGUGGAGAUCAUUUGUAAGGAAUGUAUCAUGGUCUGGGUUUCCAAGAAAAUACCCUACGUACAGUGAAUGAGAGGAAUCUGCCUGAAAAUGGUUUCGGAACCAUGUACCUUUAUGCUUUGUGAUUGUGAAACCUUGACUUUUGUAACCCAAAAAUGAAAACCGUUUAGUAAAGGGGAUCUAUUUUGUGUGUUUUGAAACUUAGGUGCAAUGUUCCCUGGAAAAAGCUAAAGAAAUGUAUAUGCUCAAUGCCACUUUAAAAUAAAAUAUUAUACAUAUGUAUAUAGGACACCUUUAGCAAAACCUUUUUGUGUCAUUUCGUUUAAUUCACUAAGAAGUGUCUUCAUACCAGGUAGUGGAAUGAGUUGAGAGGGUCAUGGCCUCAUGGGGAGUCAUCAACUGUGAACAGAUUCAAAAUCAGACGGGAAUGGAUGCCAACACUAUAAAUCUUCACAGGAAUCAGCAGUAAGAGCUGUACAUUUCACCAGUGCCUUUAGAACUACCGUGGGUAUUACUCCCAAGAACUACUCCCAACAGGUUACAGGAAGCUUUGAAGCAAAUCGAGAAGGCGCCCAGUAAUUGUCCUGCCACCUAUCAAGGUGGGCAAGUGCAAUCCUGCCAGGUAGAAUUGGCCCAGUGGGGGAUGAGAGCUGCCUGUCAUCACCGAGGAAUCUCAUCAAAUGCUGCUUGAGUAGAAAUGGAGGUGGCCCGUUGAGUCCUAUGACAAGAGCCAAGUGGAGCAGAAGGUAAGGGUUACCUUCCAGAACAACAAAAAUGGAUUUGGAGGUUAGGAGCGGGGACUUGUUUGGGCCACAGGCCAUAGAAUGUGCACGCGACACACAGGUCCUGCGUCCAGCUCCCAAAAUGUGUAACACAUGAAAUAAGUCCAGUUAGCAGAGGUAUGAAGGAGUGCCGUGGAGAAUCAGAGAUUAAGAGUCUACAAGGGGGGCUUCCCUGGUGGCACAGUGGUUGAG